Molecule: non-coding RNA, 190 nt
Organism: Taeniopygia guttata (zebra finch)
Lineage: Eukaryota; Metazoa; Chordata; Aves; Passeriformes; Estrildidae
Source: RefSeq, a predicted model, not a curated record
CCUGCUUGGAUCCAGUUAGAAUUUUACAGUCUUUGUGCUGCACAGACACAAAGCUUUGGGGGGGAAUAAAUGUAUACAUCCUGCAUGCUAUUCCUAAAGAUAAUUCCCCAUAAGAAUCUCAGCUCCCUCAUCCAUCUUUGUCCUGUGUUAUCUUAAUGGGCAAAAUGCCCUUGGCUCCUCAAGUGGUGCU